UUUGACCUCGGAUCAGGUAGGGAUACCCGCUGAACUUAAGCAUAUCAAUAAGCC
Molecule: ribosomal RNA, 54 nt
Filed under: Alternaria sp. JJ008
Lineage: Eukaryota; Fungi; Ascomycota; Dothideomycetes; Pleosporales; Pleosporaceae
Description: partial 28S ribosomal RNA
Source: RNAcentral